GAAGGGUGAUUANGUUAGAAUACCGGCCUGUCACGCCGGGGGUCGCGGGUUCGAGUCCCGUCCGCUGCGCCA
Molecule: transfer RNA, 72 nt
Filed under: Pseudomonas syringae pv. actinidiae ICMP 19079
Lineage: Bacteria; Pseudomonadati; Pseudomonadota; Gammaproteobacteria; Pseudomonadales; Pseudomonadaceae
Description: tRNA-OTHER
Rfam family: tRNA (bases 5-63)
About the family: Transfer RNA (tRNA) molecules are approximately 80 nucleotides in length. Their secondary structure includes four short double-helical elements and three loops (D, anti-codon, and T loops). Further hydrogen bonds mediate the characteristic L-shaped molecular structure. tRNAs have two regions of fundamental functional importance: the anti-codon, which is responsible for specific mRNA codon recognition, and the 3' end, to which the tRNAs corresponding amino acid is attached (by aminoacyl-tRNA synthetases). tRNAs cope with the degeneracy of the genetic code in two manners: having more than one tRNA (with a specific anti-codon) for a particular amino acid; and 'wobble' base-pairing, i.e. permitting non-standard base-pairing at the 3rd anti-codon position.
Source: RNAcentral